This 1437-nucleotide ribosomal RNA is filed under the name Triticum aestivum (bread wheat). RNAcentral's name for it is "partial small subunit ribosomal RNA". The record is from RNAcentral. Lineage: Eukaryota; Viridiplantae; Streptophyta; Magnoliopsida; Poales; Poaceae.
AUGGCGCCGCAGCUGACCGGCGCGCCCGGCUCGGCGGCGGCGGCGGGCGGCGCCGCGGCCGUCAAGCCGCAGUUCCACCACUACCACCACCACCGCCUGCCCCCGCGCCACCACCACCCGCCCUCGCUCCUCUCCAAGCUCGCCUUCUGGUCCGUCUGCUCCCUCGCGCUGCUCCUCGCCUUCCUCCUCCUCGCCCCCUCCUCCGCCCCCGCUCCGCGCGCCGCCCCCGACUCCCCGCGCCGCUCCCUCCACGCCCGCCCCGACUCCGCCGCCGCCUGGGGCGGCGCCGCCUGGGAGAGGAAGGUGCGGGCCUCCGCGCGCGCCAGGCGCCCCGGCCUCUCCGUCCUCGUCACCGGCGCCGCGGGCUUCGUCGGCUGCCACGCCGCCGCCGCGCUGCGCCGCCGCGGCGACGGCGUCCUCGGCCUCGACAACUUCAACGACUACUACGACCCCGCCCUCAAGCGCGGCCGGGCCGCGCUGCUCGCGCGCUCGGGCGUCUACGUCGUCGACGGCGACAUCGCCGACGCCGAGCUCCUCGCCAAGCUGUUCGACGUCGCGCCCUUCACGCACGUCCUGCACCUCGCGGCCCAGGCUGGCGUGCGCCACGCGCUCGUUGACCCCAUGUCGUAUGUGCGGGCGAACGUCGCUGGGCUCGUCGCGCUGCUUGAGGCGGCUCGCGCGGCCGACCCGCAGCCGGCGAUCGUCUGGGCAUCCUCGUCUUCGGUCUACGGGCUCAACUCCCAUGUGCCUUUCUCCGAGCAUGACAGGACGGACCGACCCGCGUCUCUCUACGCGGCCACCAAGAAGGCUGGUGAGGAGAUCGCUCAUGUCUACAACCACAUCUAUGGCCUCUCGCUCACCGCCCUCCGGUUUUUCACCGUAUAUGGGCCGUGGGGGCGCCCCGACAUGGCAUACUUCUUCUUCACCCGGGACAUUCUUGCUGGUCGGCCAAUCACGGUUUAUGAGAGCUCCGGUGGAGGCACACACCAGACCACCAUUUCCCGGGAUUUCACCUACAUUGAUGAUAUUGUGAAAGGGUGUAUUGGGGCAUUGGAUACAGCUGGGCGGAGCACAGGCAGCGGCGGCAAGAAGCGAGGGCCAGCGCCAUUCAGGACAUACAAUUUGGGGAACACUUCUCCAGUGCCGGUGACACAGCUUGUGGAUUUACUGGAGAAGAUGCUCAAGGUGAAGGCCGUGAGGAGGGUUGUCAAGAUGCCAAGGAACGGGGAUGUGCCGUACACGCAUGCUAACAUCAGCCUUGCACAGCGGGAGCUUGGGUAUCGGCCAUCCACUGAUCUCCAAACAGGGCUCAAGAAGUUCGUGCGGUGGUAUCUUGAGUACUACAAUCCUGAGUUGGCUGUGAAGCAGAAGCAGCAUGGCAGUAGCAAUGGCAAGGGUUCACGCGGUCGGAAUGGCAGCACGAGCAGCGCAAGAUGA